RNAcentral lists this ribosomal RNA (253 nucleotides) under uncultured bacterium. RNAcentral describes it as "partial 16S ribosomal RNA". It matches the Rfam family "Bacterial small subunit ribosomal RNA", at positions 524 to 776 of the family's 1533-position model. The record is from RNAcentral.
UACGUAGGGGGCUAGCGUUGUCCGGAUUUAUUGGGCGUAAAGAGCGUGUAGGCGGCCUGGUAGGUCUGCUGUGAAAACUCGAGGCUCAACCUCGAGAUGUCGGCGGAAACCAUCUGGCUAGAGUCCGGAAGAGGAGAGUGGAAUUCCUGGUGUAGCGGUGAAAUGCGCAGAUAUCAGGAAGAACACCUAUGGCGAAGGCAGCUCUCUGGGACGGUACUGACGCUGAGACGCGAAAGCCAGGGGAGCAAACGGG